ACUACGGGUGGCAGCAGUGGGGGAUAUUGCACAAUGGGGGGAACCCUGAUGCAGCGACGCCGCGUGGGUGAAGAAGCGCCUCGGCGCGUAAAGCCCUGUCAGCAGGGAAGAAAAUGACGGUACCUGAAGAAGAAGCCCCGGCUAACUACGGGCCAGCAGCCGCGGUAAUACGUAGGGGGAAAGCGUUAUCCGGAUUUACUGGGUGUAAAGGGGGCGCAGACGGGGAUGCAAGCCAGGAGUGAAAGCCCGGGGCCCAACCCCGGGACUGCUCUUGGAACUGCGUGGCUGGAGUGCAGGAGGGGCAGGCGGAAUUCCUGGUGUAGCUGUGAAAUGCGUAGAUAUCAGGAGGAACACCGGUGGCGAAGGCGGCCUGCUGGACUGCAACUGACGUUGAGGCCCGAAAGCGUGGGGAGCAAACAGGAUUAGAUACCCGUGUAGUC
This 440-nucleotide ribosomal RNA is filed under the name uncultured bacterium. RNAcentral describes it as "partial 16S ribosomal RNA". It matches the Rfam family "Bacterial small subunit ribosomal RNA", at positions 338 to 795 of the family's 1533-position model. The record is from RNAcentral.